This 502-nucleotide ribosomal RNA is filed under the name uncultured bacterium. RNAcentral describes it as "partial 16S ribosomal RNA". It matches the Rfam family "Bacterial small subunit ribosomal RNA", at positions 30 to 523 of the family's 1533-position model. The record is from RNAcentral.
AUUGAACGCUGGCGGCAUGCCUUACACAUGCAAGUCGAACGGCAGCACGGGAGCUUGCUCCUGGUGGCGAGUGGCGAACGGGUGAGUAAUACAUCGGAACGUACCCAGGAGUGGGGGAUAACGUAGCGAAAGUUACGCUAAUACCGCAUAUUCUGUGAGCAGGAAAGCGGGGGAUCGCAAGACCUCGCGCUCUUGGAGCGGCCGAUGUCGGAUUAGCUAGUUGGUGAGGUAAAAGCUCACCAGGGCGACGAUCCGUAGCAGGUCUGAGAGGAUGAUCUGCCACACUGGGACCGAGACACGGCCCAGACUCCUACGGGAGGCAGCAGUGGGGAAUUUUGGACAAUGGGGGCAACCCUGAUCCAGCCAUGCCGCGUGAGUGUAGAAGGCCUUCGGGUUGUAAAGCUCUUUCGGCGGGGAAGAAAUGGCAACGGCUAAUAUCCGUUGUUGAUGACGGUACCCGCAUAAGAAGCACCGGCUAACUACGUGCCAGCCGCCGCCGUAA